AUAAUAGCCACCAAUUUUAGAUAAUUACAAGAGAUAAUACGAAUUCAUGUAAAUUGUUUUCUAAUUGCCAUUUAAACUUUUAUCAUAAAACAUAUCCAUAAACCAACCGUGUGUGUUCCCGCGCACAGGAUAGAUCUUUGUUUUCAUUGACGAAAACCUGAAAUAUCUGACAAAUAUGUUUAUCUCUUUCCUUACAUUUGAUUAAAGAAUUUUAUAUUUUCA
Molecule: long non-coding RNA, 222 nt
Filed under: Polistes fuscatus (common paper wasp)
Lineage: Eukaryota; Metazoa; Arthropoda; Insecta; Hymenoptera; Vespidae
Description: uncharacterized LOC122525983
Source: RNAcentral